AUACGUAGGGUGCUAGCGUUAUCCGGAUUUACUGGGCGUAAAGGGUGCGUAGGUGGUCUUUCAAGUCGGUGGUUAAAGGCUACGGCUCAACCGUAUUAAGCCGCCGAAACUGGAAGACUUGAGUGCAGGAGAGGAAAGUGGAAUUCUCAGUGUAGCGGUGAAAUGCGUAGAUAUUGAGAAGAAAACCAGUAGCGACGGCGGCUUUCUGGACUGUAACUGACACUGAGGCACGAAAGCGUGGGUAGCAAACAGGAUUAGAUACCCUGGUAGUCCACGCCGUAAACGAUGAGUAUUAGGUGUCGGGGGUUACCCCCCUCGGUGCCGCAGUUAACGCAUUAAAUACUCCGCCUGGGGAGUACGCACGCAAGUGUGAAACUCAAAGGAAUUGACGGGG
This 394-nucleotide ribosomal RNA is filed under the name uncultured bacterium. RNAcentral describes it as "partial 16S ribosomal RNA". It matches the Rfam family "Bacterial small subunit ribosomal RNA", at positions 523 to 918 of the family's 1533-position model. The record is from RNAcentral.